This 540-nucleotide ribosomal RNA is filed under the name Pseudarthrobacter psychrotolerans. RNAcentral's name for it is "bacterial SSU rRNA". It matches the Rfam family "Bacterial small subunit ribosomal RNA", at positions 327 to 880 of the family's 1533-position model. Lineage: Bacteria; Bacillati; Actinomycetota; Actinomycetes; Micrococcales; Micrococcaceae. The record is from RNAcentral.
UGUGGGGGCCUUCGGGAGGCAGCAGUGGGGAAUAUUGCACAAUGGGCGAAAGCCUGAUGCAGCGACGCCGCGUGAGGGAUGACGGCCUUCGGGUUGUAAACCUCUUUCAGUAGGGAAGAAGCGAAAGUGACGGUACCUGCAGAAGAAGCGCCGGCUAACUACGUGCCAGCAGCCGCGGUAAUACGUAGGGCGCAAGCGUUAUCCGGAAUUAUUGGGCGUAAAGAGCUCGUAGGCGGUUUGUCGCGUCUGCCGUGAAAGUCCGGGGCUCAACUCCGGAUCUGCGGUGGGUACGGGCAGACUAGAGUGAUGUAGGGGAGACUGGAAUUCCUGGUGUAGCGGUGAAAUGCGCAGAUAUCAGGAGGAACACCGAUGGCGAAGGCAGGUCUCUGGGCAUUAACUGACGCUGAGGAGCGAAAGCAUGGGGAGCGAACAGGAUUAGAUACCCUGGUAGUCCAUGCCGUAAACGUUGGGCACUAGGUGUGGGGGACAUUCCACGUUUUCCGCGCCGUAGCUAACGCAUUAAGUGCCCCGCCUGGGAGA